RNA transcript from Triticum aestivum (bread wheat), 828 nucleotides. RefSeq lists it as uncharacterized. Lineage: Eukaryota; Viridiplantae; Streptophyta; Magnoliopsida; Poales; Poaceae. The transcript has 3 exons. The record is from RefSeq and is a predicted model, not a curated record.
UAUACAUACUGCAGCCUAACUAGCUAGUUCUUCUUUCCCCUGUCUGAACCAAGGCUUGCAAAUGCCGGAUCCAGUUACUGCCAGUGCUGCUGUAGGAUGGGGCGUAUCCGCAGCAGGCUGGCUCAUCUCGCCUAUCAUUUCAAGGGUACUCAACAAAGGUUUCGCCCACCUCGACUUCGAUGCAGCGGAGAAGCUGAAGAUGCUUGAUGUACAAGUUCUACAACUGCAGCGCCUGAUGGAAGUAGCCGACGAGAGCACUUACAAGGCAAAGAUAUCUUGGAUGAUAUUGAGUAUCAGCGUCUCAAGAAGCAGGUCCAAGAUGGCAAGUCAGAUGGCAGUACGAUGGAUUCGCUGAAGAAGAAUCUACGGUCUGCAAUGCCGAGCUGCCUCCUAAAAGAUAAGAAGAGUGGCAAGACAAAAGUGGAAUUGAAGAAGAGCCUAGAGAGUAUAGAAAGUGCUAUAAGUGAUGCAUGUAACCUUUUGAAACAACUGAAGUUGACAGCUCUAAGUAGUGAUAAUGGGAGACCAGUUGUUGCUGCCAAUUCACAUCAUGCAGUCACUACUGGAGGUCCUCCGCCACGAGUAAUUGGCACUAGUAGAAAAAGGGUCAUACGUGAAGCCCAAUAGUGCCGGUUUGUAUUAGAGCCGGCACUAAUGUGUACAAUAGCACCGGUUCGUGGCGGCGAUCAAUAGCACCGGUUCGUGGCGAACCUUUAGUACCGGUUCAUAUGCCACGAACCGGUACUAAAGUGGAUGUGUCAGCCUGCGGUCAGGCUAUGGUCCCACCAUCACCAUUUAGUGCCGGUUCGUGGUACGAACCGGUACUAA